RNAcentral lists this ribosomal RNA (497 nucleotides) under uncultured bacterium. RNAcentral describes it as "partial 16S ribosomal RNA". It matches the Rfam family "Bacterial small subunit ribosomal RNA", at positions 28 to 507 of the family's 1533-position model. The record is from RNAcentral.
GAUGAACGCUGGCGGCGUGCCUAAUACAUGCAAGUCGAGCGAACAGAUGAGGAGCUUGCUCCUCUGACGUUAGCGGCGGACGGGUGAGUAACACGUGGAUAACCUACCUAUAAGACUGGGAUAACUUCGGGAAACCGGAGCUAAUACCGGAUAAUAUAUUGAACCGCAUGGUUCAAUAGUGAAAGACGGUUUUGCUGUCGCUUAUAGAUGGAUCCGCGCCGCAUUAGCUAGUUGGUAAGGUAACGGCUUACCAAGGCAACGAUGCGUAGCCGACCUGAGAGGGUGAUCGGCCACACUGGAACUGGGACACGGUCCAGACUCCUACGGGAGGCAGCAGUAGGGAAUCUUCCGCAAUGGGCGAAAGCCUGACGGAGCAACGCCGCGUGAGUGAUGAAGGUCUUCGGAUCGUAAAACUCUGUUAUUAGGGAAGAACAAAUGUGUAAGUAACUAUGCACGUCUUGACGGUACCUAAUCAGAAAGCCACGGCUAACUACGUG